AACGAACGCUGGCGGCAGGCUUAACACAUGCAAGUCGAACGCGUGCAGCAAUGCACGAGUGGCGCACGGGUGAGUAACGAGUGGAUAUCUGCCUUUUGGUUCGGAAUAACCCCGGGAAACUGGGGCUAAUACCGGAUGGUUCCUACGGGAUAAAGAUUUAUCGCCAAAAGAUGAGUCCGCGUCCGAUUAGCUAGUUGGUGAGGUAAUGGCUCACCAAGGCGACGAUCGGUAGCUGGUCUGAGAGGACGAUCAGCCACACUGGGACUGAGACACGGCCCAGACUCCUACGGGAGGCAGCAGUGGGGAAUAUUGGACAAUGGGGGCAACCCUGAUCCAGCCAUGCCGCGUGAGUGAUGAAGGCCUUCGGGUUGUAAAGCUCUUUUGGCGGGGACGAUGAUGACGGUACCCGCAGAAUAAGCCCCGGUUAACUUCGUG
Molecule: ribosomal RNA, 435 nt
Filed under: uncultured bacterium
Lineage: Bacteria
Description: partial 16S ribosomal RNA
Rfam family: Bacterial small subunit ribosomal RNA
Source: RNAcentral